CAGCCGCCGCGGUAAUACGGAGGGUGCAAGCGUUAAUCGGAAUUACUGGGCGUAAAGCGCACGCAGGCGGUCUGACAAGUCAGAUGUGAAAUCCCCGGGCUUAACCUGGGAACUGCAUUUGAAACUGUCAGGCUGGAGUCUUGUAGAGGGGGGUGGAAUUCCAGGUGUAGCGGUGAAAUGCGUAGAGAUCUGGAGGAAUACCGGUGGCGAAGGCGGCCCCCUGGACAAAGACUGACGCUCAGGUGCGAAAGCGUGGGGAGCAAACAGGAUUAGAUACCCCAGUAGUCCCUGUCUAUUAUAA
This 301-nucleotide ribosomal RNA is filed under the name uncultured bacterium. RNAcentral describes it as "partial 16S ribosomal RNA". It matches the Rfam family "Bacterial small subunit ribosomal RNA", at positions 509 to 809 of the family's 1533-position model. The record is from RNAcentral.